GACCUAGUGCGGCGCAGUGGUUUGAGCACUGGACAAGGACUCUGGAGUCCAGGGUCCGAAUCCCAUCUUGGCCA
Non-coding RNA from Phrynosoma platyrhinos (Desert horned lizard), 74 nucleotides. Lineage: Eukaryota; Metazoa; Chordata; Lepidosauria; Squamata; Phrynosomatidae. The record is from the annotation of a GenBank genome assembly.